RNAcentral lists this ribosomal RNA (253 nucleotides) under uncultured prokaryote. RNAcentral's name for it is "partial 16S ribosomal RNA". It matches the Rfam family "Bacterial small subunit ribosomal RNA", at positions 525 to 777 of the family's 1533-position model. The record is from RNAcentral.
ACGGAGGGUGCAAGCGUUAUCCGGAUUCACUGGGUUUAAAGGGUGCGUAGGAGGGCAGGUAAGUCAGUGGUGAAAUCUCCAAGCUUAACUUGGAAACUGCCGUUGAUACUAUCUGUCUUGAAUACCGUGGAGGUGAGCGGAAUAUGUCAUGUAGCGGUGAAAUGCUUAGAUGUGACAUAGAACACCAAUUGCGAAGGCAGGUUACUACCAGUGGAUUGACGCUGAUGGACGAAAGCGUGGGUAGCGAACAGGA